CUAAAUUCAACGCUCCCCUACCACCAGGGGGCAGUCAACAUGGUUUCACAUUUCAGUUCAAAGGACGAGAAAGGAGGGGUCCACACAAAUACAGCCUGUUGGUGAAGGCUGAGAUUUUGCAGGCUGGUGACUGUGUGCUGCCAGAGGAGAUGCAGGCACCAAGCUUCCUGCCUUGGGAGCCACAGUGUGGCCUGAUGAGUCGGGUGCCACCCGCAAAGCUGCUCAUCAUCCAGGAGACCAGGAAUAGUGAGAGAGAGCAAGGCUAACAAGGAAAGUGCACUGGGUCACUGCCAUUGCAUGGGAAGAUCACAGAUGGAAAGAUAUAUACUGAAAUCGUCGGCUGCUCCAUUCAGCCACCCCUCCUGGCCGGCGUCUCUGUGGGCAGAGAAGGCAUCAGCGCUUCUGUGCAGCCUGAAAUAAAUGAUGAGAGAAGUGCCAUCAUCCGACUGACAGCCUGCCUGCUGGAUGCUCAUACAAGAAGCCUUUCUUUUCCAUUUCGUCAAUUCUUCUUUGGUACAAAACAAAAAUCAGUCAUGACUCACUACAAAUUUACAACUUUCCCAAUUUGGAAGUCCA
This 576-nucleotide long non-coding RNA is filed under the name Equus caballus (horse). RNAcentral's name for it is "lncRNA (ENSECAG00000053732.1)". Lineage: Eukaryota; Metazoa; Chordata; Mammalia; Perissodactyla; Equidae. The record is from RNAcentral.